UACGUAGGGUGCAAGCGUUGUCCGGAUUUAUUGGGCGUAAAGAGCUCGUAGGCGGUUAAACACGUCGGAUGUGAAAAUUCGCAGCUCAACUGCGAACCUGCAUUCGAUACGGUUUGACUAGAGUGUGGUAGGGGUAACUGGAAUUCCUGGUGUAGCGGUGAAAUGCGCAGAUAUCAGGAGGAACACCGAUGGCGAAGGCAGGUUACUGGGCCAAUACUGACGCUGAGGAGCGAAAGCGUGGGGAGCAAACAGGAUUAGAAACCCCGGUAGUCC
RNAcentral lists this ribosomal RNA (273 nucleotides) under uncultured Nocardiopsis sp. RNAcentral describes it as "partial 16S ribosomal RNA". It matches the Rfam family "Bacterial small subunit ribosomal RNA", at positions 524 to 796 of the family's 1533-position model. The record is from RNAcentral. Lineage: Bacteria; Bacillati; Actinomycetota; Actinomycetes; Streptosporangiales; Nocardiopsidaceae.